RNAcentral lists this unclassified non-coding RNA (425 nucleotides) under Hevea brasiliensis (rubber tree). The record is from RNAcentral. Lineage: Eukaryota; Viridiplantae; Streptophyta; Magnoliopsida; Malpighiales; Euphorbiaceae.
UGAUAAACUAAAAAUGAUCUAUUGGUGUUAUUAAUUACAUGCAAAACAGAAACAAUGAUCUUUGGUUUAACCCAAAAUUUGGGGAAGUUUGAACUUGUAGAAUUUGGAUUAAGUGCACAUAACCAGUCAUGUUAUAGAGAAGCCAAUCCAAUCCUUCUUCACACAAUCCUUUUGGAGCAAAACAGAAAGCAAAAGGAAGGAGCUUAUGAACUAUCAACAUCCAAAAAAAAUAAAGAAAUAAAGAAGAAGAACAGAAAAAAGAAAUGUAAAAAACCUCUAACAGAGAUAUUCCCUAUAAAUCAUCUUAAUCACUCCAGCAGAGAAGCAUGAUAACACAUCUUUUAAUGAGGUAAAGUCUGCCUCUUCCUUCUCUGAGCAACCCACCAAAUCCUUUAUUACAAGAUAAUCUUUUCUUAGAAUCUGCA